CACUCCUUUAAAAUUAACUUACAUCCAAACACCCUCCAACAAAUUAUGUUGAACAAAACUCUAUAACUGGUAUCAAAUUCUCGAGAAUAAUUUUACAAAUUAUGUAUCUAACUUCAUAUUUAGAAUUCUUUAUCAACGGACUAAAAUAGUGAUAUUUUGCUCUAACAGAAAGCAGGUACAUCAUCAGCACGGAAAAUUCAUUCUCAUCCACAGCAGUUUUCUGCUGUGUAGGAAGGUGUCCUAAGAUUCUUCCAAUUUCAUCACAUGAUGUAACAAACACACAAAGAGAUCUUCAAAGCCACAAACAAAUUCUUAAGCAUUUAUGCAUUGCCUAUGUCAAAUAACAUAUGAAAAUAAGUGCACAAACGAAAAUCAAUUCGCAUCAAUGAUUAUGAAAUUAUAUGAAGACUCAGAUAAAGUGUAGGAUUAUAUAUUUUGCUUCAUCCAAAUCUAACAAAGUUCAAACCACGAUACACAUCAAAGUGAAGGUUUUCUGAACGCAAAUCUCUAAUUUUGUUUCCCGACGUCCAAUUGCAGCAUCAAAAUUGCCACAUUGGAUAGCGAGGGGAACGCACAUCUCGGCUUCAGUUUAAGAUUGCCAAACACAUACAAAAACGUGCAAGCAAAAAUCUCAUAAGAAAACAGAAGCCUUUCAAAUGAACAAAAAAAAUAAUGCACAAAACAAAAUUAUCAAAUGGAAAUCUAGGAGAAACACAAGAUAACUCAGUCCCUUAGAUGUUCAAAUAAUGUUUACGAUCAUACCCGCAAAUCAUUACAGGUCUGUAGGCUCAUCACAGUUAAAAAUAGCAUAAACCCAAUUACAGAACCGACCAGAAAACAAAAACUAAAAUAACAGGGAAAAUAUAAUUUCAGAAUGAAAUUUAAUUUAGUUGAUCCAAUGUCCUCCCACAACCAAGGGAUUAUGGAACAGAUAAAAAAGAACAACACAUACACUAUUGCUUCUAGGGAACGAGUCCAAAGGGAAUUGAAUUAAUCCACAUUGACCAGAUAAAGAAGCUAUUUUGAAAUGCUAACUCCAAAGUGAAAACCAACUAAAUGAUGAAAAUGCUAAAUAAUUGAUAAUUGUACGAGAAGUAUCUCUACCUGGCUACCUGUAUAGUAUUCUCAGUCCCAAAGUCAAAAAAAAAAUAAAAAAUCAUCAUUACUAACUUAACAUCAUCAUUUAACCUUUUCAACAUUUUAGAAAUAAAUAAUUGUUUGCUUUGAAAGUACUGCCCAAUGUAUACCAAAUAACAAAAUAAAAGCAUUAAUUUCGAAAAAACUUCAACCCACGGACUCAAAUAAGAAUGAAGUGUUAACAAGAAAAAAUUAUUCAAAUUCUACCAUAAAUCCUAAAUUUCUGCAUUCAAACAUCCGUAAUUAUUUCUAAUUUUAAUGGCUAAAAAAAAUCUUCUAUUCACAUAAGAACUGAGUACAUCAUCAGUAUGGAAAAUGCAUUCUCAUCCACAGCAGUUAUUUGCUGUGUAGGAAGGUGUCCUAAGAUUUAUCCAAUUUCAUCACAUGAUGUCACCAACACAAAUAAAGAGAUCUGUAAGGCCACAAACAAUAGAGAAAUUUUCGCAUAUGAAUACAAAAGGAUCCAAUCUGUUUGUAACAAAAACAAAAAAUCAAUAACAAAAUUGCAACAAUGCAUAGCGAAGGUAACACAGAUCUCGAUAUCAAAUAAACAACACAAAAAAUUUAAAACAAGUGCAAAAUCGAACGAAAAUUGACAACUCAGUCCCUUAGAUGUUCAAUUGUGUUUGCGAUCAUAGCCGCAAAUCAUUACAGGUCUGUAGGCUCAUCACAGUUGAAAAUAGCACUGCCAAAGUUAUCCAAUCGACGAAAAACAGACAACACAAACCAAAAUUUUAGUAGAAAAAUGAAUUUAGCUGCUCCAGUAUGCUCCCAAAACCAAAGUAUUGUGGAAAAGAUAUUAAAGAACAACACAAAUGACUAUUGCUUCAAGGGAACGAGUCGAAUGGGAAUGGAAGUAAUCCGCACCGACCAGAUAGAGAAGCGUACGGUGAAUUGAAAAUAGAAAAGUGGAAGAGAGGCAGAGAAAUUAGAAACCCUAAUUUCAUAGGCAGAGGCUACGAAGAAGAGAUGGAACACAGUGCAAGGAAAAAGUGAGGUUUAUAUAGUGUGGAUUGAAGUGGGAGGCGCCCUCUUAUUCAGGUGUGAUUUGCG
This 2190-nucleotide long non-coding RNA is filed under the name Phaseolus vulgaris (common bean). Its description in RNAcentral is "long non-coding RNA (PVUL_LNC001908)". The record is from RNAcentral. Lineage: Eukaryota; Viridiplantae; Streptophyta; Magnoliopsida; Fabales; Fabaceae.